RNAcentral lists this ribosomal RNA (253 nucleotides) under uncultured bacterium. RNAcentral describes it as "partial 16S ribosomal RNA". It matches the Rfam family "Bacterial small subunit ribosomal RNA", at positions 524 to 776 of the family's 1533-position model. The record is from RNAcentral.
UACGUAGGCAGCAAGCGUUGUUCGGAGUUACUGGGCGUAAAGGGCGCGUAGGCGGUUCGCUAAGUCGGAUGUGAAAACUCUGGGCUCAACCCAGAGCCUGCAUCCGAAACUGGCGGGCUAGAGUUCUGGAGGGGGUAGCGGAAUUCCUGGUGUAGCGGUGAAAUGCGUAGAUAUCAGGAGGAACACCGGUGGCGAAGGCGGCUACCUGGACAGAAACUGACGCUGAGGCGCGAAAGCUAGGGGAGCAAACAGG